This 999-nucleotide ribosomal RNA is filed under the name Triticum aestivum (bread wheat). RNAcentral describes it as "partial small subunit ribosomal RNA". The record is from RNAcentral. Lineage: Eukaryota; Viridiplantae; Streptophyta; Magnoliopsida; Poales; Poaceae.
AUGGGAGAGGAUAUCAGCGAGGAGGAGUUCCUUGAUUACCAUGACAAGCUACCUCGCAUCCCUCAUUAUAUUGUUGCUCGUAAACUGACAAAUGAGGAGCUCGAUGAGCAAGAUCUUCGCCACGCACUGUACCGCCUCAGAUCUUACAAACACAAGCUGAAAGAGGAGGGAAAGGAAGAUACAUUUGGCCUUAAGGACAUUUCUGAGGCCGACUGUGAUCAAGAGUUCUUAAAGAAACAGAGAUUUUUCAGACGAUUCGAGGAAAUUUCCACACUUGAUUGGUAUUUCCACCCUGAUUACUGCAAAGGGGGUUCCCUGAAUGACUACCAACGCCUAGUCCUUCGAAAUUAUGGCGGUUCUGAGUACGCCAGGUGGAGUGAGUACCAUGAGUUCCUUCAUAGCCAUGACGUUGAAGAAGAGUAUGUCAAGUUCUGUGAGGAAUUGUUCAAGAAGCUAGAGUGGAUGGAAGGUUAUCUAGAUUUUCCCCGGCCAUCUCAUAAGUGGGAUCGCAUAUCUUCCCGAGGAGCUUUACAAGCAAUUAAACUUGCAGCUACUACCUUUCAGAAGAUCACUGCGUCUUUAGCUUACUAUGGCUACUUUGAGUGUAAACAGAGCAUUGCCUAUGACCGUACUUGGUACAAGGAGUUAGAUGGUGUCCAUUUUGAGAUUUGGUGUCGGGUCACUGAGAAACAGAUGAGUUUCAGAGAUGCUCUAGCGGAGGUUUGUGCGCUGAACAGGUUUCCAUUACGCCAACGUAGAAUGGAAGGUGCACUGAAGCGGGACUACACCAUGGAGAGAUUGGAAUCGGAGUACCAUACCUGCACGGCAAAGGUUCCCCCGGGAACUGAAAAGGACAAGGCUAAGGAGUUGAUUGCAAAGGCAGUUAAAAAUCGGCUCAAUAAGCCAAAGACCUAUGUGCAGUAUAUCAGCAAGAAGAUACACAUUGCACACGUUGCUGGAAUCCUUCCUCUGAAGGAUUCGAAGGAACAAUGUAGUUAA